This 231-nucleotide long non-coding RNA is filed under the name Elaeis guineensis (African oil palm). RNAcentral's name for it is "long non-coding RNA (EGUI_LNC022503)". The record is from RNAcentral. Lineage: Eukaryota; Viridiplantae; Streptophyta; Magnoliopsida; Arecales; Arecaceae.
GUACUUCACAGUUCUAGCAUUUUUGUUUCAAUGAAUGAGAACAUUUUACUCAUUGUUCUAGUGGUUCUGCCUCUAUCAUAUUACUACACCCAGGAUAAAGGCUACGCCUCUGCAAUUUAUGUCUAUGUUCUGGUUGCAUAUAUCACACUACUUGUUGGUAUUUAAUGGGCUCAAUUGUUAUAAGAUUCUGUCUCAUCUUCUUUUGAUCAUGAUGUUCCAAGAUGUUCUGUC